UCGCCUGUUUUACAAAAACAUCGUUUACUUAACCCUAGUAGAUAGAAUCUGCCCGCUGUUAUUUAUAAAAGGCCGCGGUAUCGCUGACCGUGCUAAGGUAGCAUAAUCACUCGCCUCUUAAUAGAAGGCUCGUAUAAAUGAUCUGACGGAAGGUAGACUGUCUCAGCUAUGUAAUAGAAUCUGACAUAAGGGUAAAAAGGCCCUUUCCCCCAAGGGGACGAUCAGACCCUAAAAACUUUAUCUACCUUUGCUCUUCGCCCUUUACCUUAAAAGAGUAGAAAUAGAUUUUGCUGGGGCGGCAUUUUUUAAUACAAAAACAAUCUUUCUUAAAACACCUUGUGUGGUACUUAUAACACGCCUUUAAAGACUAAAGACCAGUUACUUUAGGGAUAACAGCGCAACCCCUUCUAGAGCCCCUAUCGACAAGCAGGAAAGCGACCUCGAUGUUGAAUUGAGACUCCCUACUGGGCAGCCCCAGUAAAGGACAGGACUGUUCGUCCUAAGAUCCUCACGUGAUCUGAUUUC
This 525-nucleotide ribosomal RNA is filed under the name Bathynomus doederleinii. RNAcentral's name for it is "partial large subunit ribosomal RNA". It matches the Rfam family "Bacterial large subunit ribosomal RNA", at positions 1796 to 2612 of the family's 2925-position model. Lineage: Eukaryota; Metazoa; Arthropoda; Malacostraca; Isopoda; Cirolanidae. The record is from RNAcentral.